UUUAGAAUGUUCCAUGACCAAAUGAUUGGACGAGGCCCAUCACGUCAGCAAUGACACUUCGCCGCAGUAAAGGGGGGUGCUAGCAACCUGCUUCUUCAUGGUUAAGGCUUGAAGUAAGCCAAUCACCUCCCUUCUUUAGUGCAGUCUCUGGCCAAUGACGUUCGCCCUCUUAGGUUCUUAGCCCGCCUCCAGGAGAGCGACAGUCGUUGGGUCAUAAGUCUAUAGGGCAGGGUGUUCACGUGGCCUAUUUUUACGACCCAGAGUUCCCUGACCAGAGGUUCUUUUUUUUUUUUCUGCGGGAGGCAUUAUGGGUUCCCCCCCUCACGACACACUGGAAAAGGAAGUGUCUACGUGGCCUGCGGAAACAGGAUGGGCGGAAAUGAUCUAAGAUUCCCGCGAGUGGGGAAGCGCGAGGUCAAAUCUGGGGCCACACCCCCGAGCCACUUGCGCAACUCGAGAAAAAAAAGCAGAGUGGGGAUUUUGACAAAGCUCUUUUUGAUUUGACUGUGGGUUCUGAGAGAACAAGAGGUCCUGCUAGUGGAUUGAGGGGCAAGAGGAAGACAAAUCACUGGUUUCUUCAAUAGGAGAGCAAACUGAAGCCUCAACAACUGAAUAAAUAAAUCCCUUUCUCUGGAAAAACAUUGAACACUCACCUCUUCUGGAACAGGGUUGUGGCUGGGUGGGGCCAAAAGAGGCUUCAGAACUCAGGUUUAUGAUAUCCUCUCACCUGCUCAACUAGAUUGACUCCCUACAUAGUUGGAGCUGCUGAGAUCACCCUAGGGGGCUUCCCAGCAGGAGCAAAAUUGAUGACAGACAACCUCUUUCACCAACCAGCCUCUACAAUGUUCGACAGUGAAGGUACUGUAGAUUCCAGGCUGCUGGAAGUGGACUCUUUAGGAGAAGAAAGGAGGAAAGAGAAGCAAAGAAUUGGAUAGGUUGCUCCUAGGAGUUGAUAAGCAGCAGGAGAGAUGCCUAUUCGAGAGUUCCCUGUACCAACAAGAAGCUUUACUCUCUCACGAUGACCUCAGUAUUUUCUGGUCUGAGAAAGGUACAAAGUUGUGUCCAGUCUUUUUUCUUUUUAUUAUCAAUUUAUGGUGUAUAUGAAUCUUCAUG
Molecule: long non-coding RNA, 1113 nt
Organism: Pteropus alecto (black flying fox)
Lineage: Eukaryota; Metazoa; Chordata; Mammalia; Chiroptera; Pteropodidae
Exons: 4
Source: RefSeq, a predicted model, not a curated record